AUGAGGAAGAUUUCCCAUGGCUUCAGGGACCCACUGGGCUUCGCUUCACUCACUGGAGUACUAGCACUUGUGCUGGUUCUGUUGGAAGUUGUGUGUGUUCCAGUUGAAAAGGGUGUACCAGAGUAUCCUGUGGUUGCAGUGGAUCCAGCUGUGCUAGUCCCACUGGAGGUUGUACUGGAUCCAGUACUGGAGGUUGUGCUUGUUUCACUGGAGGUCAUACUGGAACCAGUAUUGGCAGGUGUGCUGGUCUCACCAGAGAUUGUGCUGGUUCCAGUGUUGACAGGUGUAAUAGUCCCUCCAGAGGUCGAGCUGGAUCCAGUGUUGGAGGUUAUACUGGAACCACUGGGGGUCACGCUGGAUGCAGCGUUGGAAGUCACGCUGGAUCCAGUGCUGAAGGCUGUGCUAGAUCCUCCAGAGGUCGCGCUGGAUCCAGUGUUGGAGGUUAUACUGGAACCACUGGGGGUCACGCUGGAUCCAGCGUUGGAAGUCAUGCUGGAUCCAGUGCUGAAGGGUGUGCUAGACCCUCCAGAGGUCGAGCUGGAUCCAGUCUUGGAGGUUAUACUGGAACCACUGGGGGUCACGCUGGAUGCAGCGUUGGAAGUCACGCUGGAUCCAGUGCUGAAGGCUGUGCUAGAUCCUCCAGAUGUCGAGCUGGAUCCAGUGUUGGAGGUUAUGCUGGAACCACUGGGGGUCACGCUGGAUGCAGUGUUGGGAGUCAUGCUGGAUCCAGUGCUGAAGGCUGUGCUAGAUCCUCUAGAGGUCGAGCUGGAUCCAGUGUUGGAGGCUAUACUGGAACCACUGGGGGUCACGCUGGAUGCAGUGUUGGGAGUCAUGCUGGAUCCAGUGCUGAAGGGUGUGCUAGACCCUCCAGAGGUCGAGCUGGAUCCAGUGUUGGAGGUUAUGCUGGAACCACUGGGGGUCACGCUGGAUGCAGCGUUGGAAGUCACGCUGGAUCCAGUGCUGAAGGCUGUGCUAGAUCAUCCAGAGGUCGAGCUGGAUCCAGUGUUGGAGGUUAUGCUGGAACCACUGGGGGUCACGCUGGAUGCAGCGUUGGAAGUCACGCUGGAUCCAGUGCUGAAGGCUGUGCUAGAUCCUCCAGAUGUCGAGCUGGAUCCAGUGUUGGAGGUUAUGCUGGAACCACUGGGGGUCACGCUGGAUGCAGUGUUGGGAGUCAUGCUGGAUCCAGUGCUGAAGGGUGUGCUAGAUCCUCCAGAGGUCGAGCUGGAUCCAGUCUUGGAGGUUAUACUGGAACCACUGGGGGUCACACUGGAUGCAGCGUUGGAAGUCAUGCUGGACCCACUGGGGGUCAAGUUGGAUCCAGUGCUGGAGGCUGUGCUGGAUGCAGUGUUGAAGGCUGUGCUAGUCUCAGUGGAGAUUGCCAUGGAGAUGCAAUAGUAACCAAUACAUAAAGGGAAUGUUUCUUUUCUGCAUCUUAAUCUGCGUCUUUGUAGCUGAAAAACAAGAUGCUUGGAUUCCAGAUGUGGCCAAGACCUAGAAGGCAAAGAACAGGAUUCUUGAGAAAGGAGAGUUCAGGGUGAAGAGAUAAAGGCUGGAGCUUCCAGGAGGUUGGGUAUCCUAAGUAUAUGUUCUUGGAAAGAAUCUUGAGCUUGGAGGUCGCAGACUGGACACCUGGGCUCCUUAAGCUUCCUCCAUGCGAUGUUGUUGCCUCUUGUGUUAUCAUGGAAUAGCUGCAGGGGCCUUUAUAGCUUCACCUAGGUUGGGGAGGGGUUGGGAAGUUGGCUUGUUCUUCUGCCAACUGUGAGCAGGAACAAAAAACAAUACUGAGCCUAAGAAGGAAUAGACUGGGGGUCAAGAGGAAGGUGAGAAAGGAGAAUGACAUGAUCACUCUAGGCAGGGCACUGAGCUGGGUUUGAGCAGGAAGUAGGACGGGUUAAGGAGAUCAAGGUUGUCAGAGUGGAAGGGACCCACCCUUGAGGCAGAAAUUGGGUCAGAAACCUGUUCCAGUUCAAGACCUUGUUUCCUGCUCGGGAAGCCUUGUGCACCUGAAAAAACCCUAACAGACUGAGCUGAGGGGGCAGGACCCCAUAGCUCUGAGUCAAAGAAAAAUAUAAGACUUUAGGAAUUCCCAUCGUGGCUCAGUGGAAAUGAAUCCGACUAGUGUCCAUGAGAAUUCAGAUUCAAUC
Molecule: long non-coding RNA, 2144 nt
Filed under: Sus scrofa (pig)
Lineage: Eukaryota; Metazoa; Chordata; Mammalia; Artiodactyla; Suidae
Description: lncRNA (ENSSSCG00065016178.1)
Source: RNAcentral